GUGCUCAGGCGAAUCCUUUGGCUGUUGGAUGUUUGAGAAGGAAUCUGCAAAUGAUCUCUCACCGCUGAAGCCAGGAAAGUGAAAGAGAACAGAACGAAGAGAGACGAGAACCCGGAAACCUCCUGGCAACUGUGAGGUCAGUAUAAACCCCUGACUUGGACCCGGCCCCGAAGGAACUCGUCUGAGAGCGGAGGCGACUGCCUUACGCAGGGGCAGCGGAGGGUCCGGCUACGGAAAAGGCACGGGGCCAAUCGGCUGCGCAGCCGGACACGCUAGGAUCCAGGAGUGAGCGGACGAGCUGUAGCAGCCGGCUGCUUGCUGGGUCGCAAAGAGAUCCGCUUCUGAUGCCCGUCCUGGGUUUCGGCACCAAAAUGUGAGCCCAUGUAUUCUUCUUGCAUCUGCUACCACCUGCACCUCCUGUACCUUCAUGAUUUAAGAUGUUUUUCAGCUGGGCUUGAAUGGAUCCAGAUGAUAUUCGCUGAGAGCAGCUGGACUUCACUUUAAGCCAAAGGCUGAUUUUAAGUCAUUUUCAUUUCUUGCUGCAUUCUGGGCCUACUAGGAGUUGGACAUGCUCUUCUUGUGGUAGAAGAUGAGAUUGCAAGAGCUAAAAUUCACCCACACAAGCACAUCUAUAGCUUCUAUUCACACAGUAGUCACAAAAAGUAAAUUGUAUAGAUAAACACAGGAUCAUUUGAGUGGGAAAGUACACUCUUCCCACAGAGGAUGGAAGAAAAUGAAUAUUUGCUAAAUAUUAAUAUUAAUGCAUUCUACUACAUUUCCUGAUUGUCACACCUUUAAAGGGCUAAAGACUCACCCUUAUUUCUGCCAAACCUGAGUUAUCAAGUGCCAAGUACUAUGAAAAAUCUGAUAUAUUUAGCCUACUUGCAAGUUAGCAACGUAGCCUACCACAGUUUCAUAAAAGCUGGAAAAAUAUUCAAGACUUCUGGAUCAGAGGCAAAGGACUUUAUUAUUCAUUAAUACAAUGCAGCAAAGAAAAUGAUUUUCCCAUUCUUGUAUGUUCCACAAGUGCUACACACAUGGUGGGGUUAUGUCACAGCUGAAGAACCUCAAGUUUAAGAAACCCGCCAGUCUUUUAAAAGAACUACUAGCAAACCUGUCCAAAUUUUGCUUGAGAGGGAAACAUUAUCCUAUCCUAGUCAGGAAACAAAUCUAGUGUAUCUUCUGAAGGGAGGCACUGUAUCUAUCUUCUAAAUGUAUUUGCUGUAUGAAUAUUUUUAAAAAGAUAUUCUAGAACAAAAUUGAUAUAAGACAUUGAGGACUAAAAUAAAGGUCCCAAACCCUCCAUCAGACUAAUGAACCCUUUCCUGGCUGAGAUACUAAAUUUAAAGCAAGAUAGGAGGAUGGUCACAUCUCAUUCACUUUUACUUCCACCCUUCACUAAGAAUUACCAGACUUUAUCAAUGGACAAUUUGAGAAAAACAAAAGGCCAGAAGACUUUUUGCUUAAUUCACCUGACACUUUGCUUAAUUCGCAGACACCCUGCUCCUGUGGUUCUGAAACAUCAGCUCCCCUAGACCUCAAAGCAGUUUUUUAAAGGAUGACUGCUGAUUGCGGACUGGUUUUGGCUGGUCUUCUGAGAAUGUCCAGUUCAUCAACUUGUACACUGAAUUUCACUGUUUACAUAUAAGGAAGGCUAAUUAUAAUGCAUUUAAAUGUUAAAUUUCCAUUCCAAAGUGAAUAUGGGUCAUAUAUUCUCGUGUUACAUGUAUGUAACCCUAAUGCACAUGCAUGAGGACUUCCUCUAUGAAUAUUCAUAUUCUUCUCCUAUAUCCUAUUCAAUAUGUAUGCACUACUUCUCUUUCUAGCACAUAUACCUACGUCCACUUUCUCCUCUUUGAAGUGUAGCUUUACGGUUCUGACCAGAGGCUUGCUUCCCAUCUGCAGGACAUAAAACCCUUAGAAAUAAAG
Microcebus murinus (gray mouse lemur) is the source of this 1929-nucleotide non-coding RNA. Lineage: Eukaryota; Metazoa; Chordata; Mammalia; Primates; Cheirogaleidae. The record is from RefSeq and is a predicted model, not a curated record.